CUCUGUCCAUCUGAGAGAACAGAAUUUUAAUUCUAGCCCUUGCAGAUGUAUUUGCUAAUCUCAUUGCAGACCUGAAUGUACAACAAGUACCUUGCAAGUGUGAUAAAUGAAGGUCAUGAAUACACAUGAGGCUGUGAAUUAUUUCUUCAUGGAGACUAGCAAGGAUCAGGACCAAUUUCCCUGCUGGAUCCAGACAUUUGUGCUUCUCCUUGGGAAUAGAAAGAUCAGUGGGCUGAAUACUCUGAGAGGUGGAAGAACAAGUAUCAGAAGGAAAACCUUUAAGGAAGGCGUGUAAAUAAAA
This is a non-coding RNA of Taeniopygia guttata (zebra finch), 301 nucleotides long. Lineage: Eukaryota; Metazoa; Chordata; Aves; Passeriformes; Estrildidae. The record is from RefSeq and is a predicted model, not a curated record.